This 480-nucleotide ribosomal RNA is filed under the name uncultured bacterium. RNAcentral's name for it is "partial small subunit ribosomal RNA". It matches the Rfam family "Bacterial small subunit ribosomal RNA", at positions 26 to 518 of the family's 1533-position model. The record is from RNAcentral.
AGGACGAACGCUGGCGGCGCGCUUAACACAUGCAAGUCGAGCGAGAACCGAAGCCUUCGGGCAUCGGGGAAAGCGGCGAACGGGUGAGUAACACGUGGGCAACCCACCCUUGGUACCGGGAUAGCCCGGGGAAACCCGGAUUAAUACCGGAUGGCCCAGCAGCCUUUCGGGGCGGCUGGAAAAGGGAGCUUCGGCCUCCGACCAAGGACGGGCCCGCGGCGGAUUAGCUUGUUGGUGGGGUAACGGCCUACCAAGGCGACGAUCCGUAGCUGGUCUGAGAGGACGAUCAGCCACACUGGGACUGAGACACGGCCCAGACUCCUACGGGAGGCAGCAGUGGGGAAUAUUGGACAAUGGGCGAAAGCCUGAUCCAGCAAUGCCGCGUGUGUGAAGAAGGUCUUCGGAUUGUAAAGCACUUUCGGACGGGACGAUGAUGACGGUACCGUAGAAGAGCCCGGCUAACUUCGUGCCAGCAGCCGC